UGCAAAUCGUCAAUCGUAGAA
RNAcentral lists this non-coding RNA (21 nucleotides) under Caenorhabditis elegans. Lineage: Eukaryota; Metazoa; Nematoda; Chromadorea; Rhabditida; Rhabditidae. The record is from RNAcentral.